RNAcentral lists this long non-coding RNA (453 nucleotides) under Fukomys damarensis (Damara mole-rat). Its description in RNAcentral is "lncRNA (ENSFDAG00000033109.1)". Lineage: Eukaryota; Metazoa; Chordata; Mammalia; Rodentia; Bathyergidae. The record is from RNAcentral.
AAACUUCCUACCUCAUUUGAUUUUCCAGAGAAUUCUACUUUUUCCUUCCUGAAAGACUAGAGUCAGUGCAUAUUCUCUAGUCAGCUGCCACCCCUGCUGAGAAAUCAUGCAGAUAAUCAUCCUUCUUCAAGGAAUCACAAACAGGGGGCAUCUUUCUGCAUUGCACCAAACGCCAUUGUGAAGAGAAGGAAAAUCACUCACAAUCUGCCUGCAUUUCCAUCUGAGCUUCCUGUAUCAGAAAUGAUGAGGACUCAGAGAGUGAAAUUCACACGAAAAGAAGAGGUGAAAUAUUACAGGGGCCCAUAGAGACACAGUGAUGAGAAUUUGGUGUUAAAAAGAGAAAUAUAACUGACUACACACAAAAAACUGUAAGAGAUCAGAGGAAAGCAAACAAAGCCUGUCAUUCCAAAUCAGAAAUGAAGAACAGCUGUGAAUAGAGGAAGAGCAAAAGAG